UUGAGUGUUGCUGUUACUUGCUAUCAGCUCACUUUAAAGUGAUCAGCCUGCUCUAUAUUUUUCGGAUUGACUCAGCGUGAUAACAUCUUCGUUGAGGACGCUUAACCGCGGCCGAGAAUUACCCAAGAGUAGCUUCUAAACUGCCAUUGUGCAUUAUAACUUUAGACCUCAAAUCAGGUGGGACUACCCGCUGAACUUAA
This 200-nucleotide unclassified non-coding RNA is filed under the name soil metagenome. RNAcentral describes it as "partial contains internal transcribed spacer 2 and large subunit ribosomal RNA". The record is from RNAcentral.